This 253-nucleotide ribosomal RNA is filed under the name uncultured bacterium. RNAcentral describes it as "partial 16S ribosomal RNA". It matches the Rfam family "Bacterial small subunit ribosomal RNA", at positions 524 to 776 of the family's 1533-position model. The record is from RNAcentral.
UACAGAGGUGGCAAGCGUUGUUCGGAAUUACUGGGCGUAAAGGGCGCGUAGGCGGUUUCGUAAGUCCCGUGUGAAAGCCCCCGGCUCAACCGGGGAGGGUCAUUGGAAACUGGGAAACUUGAGUGCAGAAGAGGAAAGUGGAAUUCCAAGUGUAGCGGUGAAAUGCGUAGAGAUUUGGAGGAACACCAGUGGCGAAGGCGACUUUCUGGUCUGUAACUGACGCUGAGGCGCGAAAGCGUGGGGAGCAAACAGG